RNAcentral lists this ribosomal RNA (275 nucleotides) under uncultured soil bacterium. RNAcentral's name for it is "partial 16S ribosomal RNA". It matches the Rfam family "Bacterial small subunit ribosomal RNA", at positions 26 to 285 of the family's 1533-position model. The record is from RNAcentral.
AGAACGAACGCUGGCGGCGUGCCUAACACAUGCAAGUCGAGGGAGAAAGGUGGCUUCGGCCACUGAGUAAACCGGCGCACGGGUGAGUAACACGUAGGUAACGUACCCUGGAGUCCGGGAUAACCAGUCGAAAGACUGGCUAAUACCGGAUACGACUACGGAAACUCAGGUUUCUGUAGUGAAAGACGGCCUCUGUUUACAUGCUGUCACUCCUGGAUCGGCCUGCGCACCAUUAGCUAGUGGUGAGUAACGGCUCACCAAGGCUGAGAUGGUUA